CCCUUAGAUGUUCUGGGCCGCACGCGUGCUACACUGAGUGGAUCAGCGGGUCAGGUUGCGCGAAAGCGUUUCCUAAUCUUUAAAUCCGCUCGUGAUGGGGAUUGACGGUUGCAAUUUUCUGUCAUGAACGAGGAAUACCUUGUAAGCGCGGGUCAUCAUCCCGCGCUGAAUACGUCCCUGCCCUUUGUACACACCGCCCGUCGCUCCUACCGAUUGAGUGGUCCGGUGAGGCUUUGGGAUCUAAGCGAAAAGAGCGUUUCGCUCCUUUUGCUGGGAGAACUCAGUCGAACCUUAUCAUUUAGAGGAAGGGGAAGUCGUAACA
Molecule: ribosomal RNA, 322 nt
Filed under: uncultured eukaryote
Lineage: Eukaryota
Description: partial 18S ribosomal RNA
Rfam family: Eukaryotic small subunit ribosomal RNA
Source: RNAcentral